CGGCGGGCCUAACACAUGCAAGUCGAGCGAGAAAGGGACUUCGGUCCUGAGUAAAGCGGCGAACGGGUGAGUAAUACGUAGGUAAUCUUCCCUUGAGCGGGGGACAACGGUCCGAAAGGACCGCUAAUACCGCAUACGUUCCUGUCGGCCCCGGUCGACAGGAGGAAAGCUAGGCCGCAAGGUCCGGCACUCGAGGAGGAGCCUGCGUCGCAUCAGCUAGUUGGUG
This 226-nucleotide ribosomal RNA is filed under the name Chaetoceros curvisetus. RNAcentral describes it as "partial Bacterial small subunit ribosomal RNA". It matches the Rfam family "Bacterial small subunit ribosomal RNA", at positions 40 to 254 of the family's 1533-position model. Lineage: Eukaryota; Bacillariophyta; Thalassiosirophyceae; Chaetocerotales; Chaetocerotaceae. The record is from RNAcentral.